RNAcentral lists this non-coding RNA (94 nucleotides) under Fictibacillus macauensis. RNAcentral describes it as "ZTP sequence". It matches the Rfam family "ZMP/ZTP riboswitch aptamer (pfl RNA motif)". Rfam says of the family: Previously known as pfl RNA. ZMP is also known as AICAR. Lineage: Bacteria; Bacillati; Bacillota; Bacilli; Caryophanales; Fictibacillaceae. The record is from RNAcentral. RNAcentral also lists the same sequence under 1 other name.
ACAAAACGCAGUAACUGACGAGAUUUUCGUGGAAGUAACCACAAGGAAGCUGCUGUUUUUAACCUAAAAAAAGCCGUUCGUCUGGGCAAAGGUG